CAUUUAGGCAGCACAUAUGCUAAAAAACUUAGAGUGAUACUGAGAAAAUUAGCUGGCCCUUACUCAAGGAUGACACGCAAAAUCAUGAAGUGUUCUGUAUUUUA
This is a small nuclear RNA of Sorex fumeus (smoky shrew), 104 nucleotides long. Lineage: Eukaryota; Metazoa; Chordata; Mammalia; Eulipotyphla; Soricidae. The record is from RefSeq and is a predicted model, not a curated record.